AUAAGCGCGAAACCCACCACAAGAUGAGAUUUCUUUUAAGGGUCGUGGGAGAUGACCACGUUGAUAGGCUAUAGAUGUAAAGGCAGUAAUGUCAUAGUCGAGUAGUACUAAUAACCCGUAAGCUUAUGUAC
Molecule: ribosomal RNA, 131 nt
Filed under: Flavobacterium psychrolimnae
Lineage: Bacteria; Pseudomonadati; Bacteroidota; Flavobacteriia; Flavobacteriales; Flavobacteriaceae
Description: partial 23S ribosomal RNA
Rfam family: Bacterial large subunit ribosomal RNA
Source: RNAcentral